AAGCGCGCGUAGGCGCACUGUUAAAUCAGGGGGAAAUCCCGGGGCUCAACACCGGAACUGCCCGGGACACUGGCAAUCUCGAGUUCGAGAGAGGUGAGUGGAACUCCGACUGUAGAGAUGAAAUUCGUAGAUAUUCGGAAGAACACCAGUGACGAAGGCGGCUCACUGGCUCGAUACGGACGAUGAGCUGCAAAAGUCUGGGGAGCAAACAGGACUAGAUACCCUGGUAGUCCACACCGUAAACGAUGAACGCCAGACGGCGGGCAGCAUGCUGUUCGGUGUCACACAUAACGGAUUAAGCAUUCCGCUUGGGGAGUACGACCGCAAGGUUAAAACUCAAAGGAAUUGACGGGGGCCAGCACAAGCGGUGGAGCAUGUGGUUUAAUUCGAAGCAACGCGCAGAACCUUACCAACCCUUGACAUACUCGUCGCGGUUACCGGAAACGGUUUCCUUCAGUUAGGCUGGACGAGUGACAGGUGCUGCAUGGUUGUCGUCAGCUCGUGUCGUGAGAUGUUCGGUUACAGUCCGGCAACGAGCGCAACCCACACCUUUAGUUGCCAGCACUUCGGCUGGACAUCUCUAGGGGAACUGCCCGUGAUAAUCGGGAGGAAG
This 613-nucleotide ribosomal RNA is filed under the name uncultured organism. Its description in RNAcentral is "bacterial SSU rRNA". It matches the Rfam family "Bacterial small subunit ribosomal RNA", at positions 563 to 1172 of the family's 1533-position model. The record is from RNAcentral.